UACGUAGGUGGCAAGCGUUGUCCGGAUUUACUGGGUGUAAAGGGCGUGCAGCCGGGCUGACAAGUCAGAUGUGAAAUCCCGCGGCUCAACCGCGGAACUGCAUUUGAAACUGACAGUCUUGAGUACCGGAGAGGUCAUCGGAAUUCCUUGUGUAGCGGUGAAAUGCGUAGAUAUAAGGAAGAACACCAGUGGCGAAGGCGGAUGACUGGACGGCAACUGACGGUGAGGCGCGAAAGCGUGGGGAGCAAACAGG
RNAcentral lists this ribosomal RNA (253 nucleotides) under uncultured bacterium. RNAcentral describes it as "partial 16S ribosomal RNA". It matches the Rfam family "Bacterial small subunit ribosomal RNA", at positions 524 to 776 of the family's 1533-position model. The record is from RNAcentral.